This 484-nucleotide ribosomal RNA is filed under the name Leucochrysa cruentata. Its description in RNAcentral is "partial 16S ribosomal RNA". It matches the Rfam family "Bacterial large subunit ribosomal RNA", at positions 1837 to 2578 of the family's 2925-position model. Lineage: Eukaryota; Metazoa; Arthropoda; Insecta; Neuroptera; Chrysopidae. The record is from RNAcentral.
GUUUAUAAUAUAAAGUCUAACCUGCCCACUGAUAAUUUAUUAAAUGGCCGCGGUAUAUUGACUGUGCAAAGGUAGCAUAAUCAUUUGUCUCUUAAUUAGAGGCUGGAAUGAAUGGUUGAAUGAAAUAUUAACUGUCUCAAUUUUAAAAAAAUAAAAAUUUAGCUUUUAAGUUAAAAGGCUUAAAUUUAUUUAAAGGACGAGAAGACCCUAUAGAUCUUUAUAAUUAAAUUAUAUUAUAAUUUAGAAAAAUAUUUAAUAAAAUAAUAAAAAUUAUUUUAUUGGGGUGAUAGGAAAAUUAAAAUAACUUUUUUUAAAAUAUUAACAUUAAUUUAUGAUUAAUUGAUCCAUUAUUAAUGAUUAAAAGAUUAAGUUACCUUAGGGAUAACAGCGUAAUUUUUUUGAAGAGUUCAUAUCGAUAAAAAAGAUUGCGACCUCGAUGUUGAAUUAAAGUAAUUUUUAGAUGUAGCAGUUUAAAAUUUGGGUC